AUGGGAAUGUGGGAGGAAGCGAGUGACCCAGUGAUGGGGAAGAAGGAAGAAAAUGAGGAGCGGAAGGAGAAAAUUAUGAAAAUCACAAUGGAGAUUAUCUAUCUGCUGACUGGAGAGCGAUACGUCAUCCCUAAGAAGAAGAGCCCAACUGUGGGUUUGGGGGCCCUGCAUGCCCCUGGCUCCGUCAUACAGAAGGAAAAUGACAAGAAGAUCCUGGAACUCAUCUCCAACAUCAUCCAGCUGCUGACUGGAGAGGUUGCCAUAAGGUGUGAGGAUGUUUCCAUCUAUUUUUCCUUGGAGGAGUGGGAGUAUAUAAAAGGAAACAAGGCCCUUUACAGGGAAGGGAUAAAGGAGGAGGAGGAGGAGCCCCAGCAGCUCCGCCCACUGGCCUGUGAGUAUAAAGAUGGGAGCGAUGUUACAGCACAUACGGAAGCAACUUUAUGUUGUAAUAAUGAUGGGAAUCUCACAAACCCUGAUGUUUCUCCAGUGGAACAGCCCCCACCGGCCAAUGGGAUUAAAGAGGAAGAAGCUUCAUGUGGAAGGGAAAACCAAUCAAAUUGCAGCAUUAAUCCCCUUACAGAACAGAUACAGGGAACAGACACACUUACUCCUAUCAUGGGGUGCAGCCUGAAUAACAGCUCGGCAGAGGAUUAUAUAUCCGUUGUUAUUAUAGAGGAAGAAACUUCAUGGGAAGGGGGAAACCAAUCAGAUUGCAGCAUUAAUUCCCUUACAGAACAGAUACAGGAAACAAAUACUCCUAUCAUGGGGUGCAGCCUGAAUAUCUUAGAAAUGAAGGAUAAUAAUUAUGAUAAAAAUUCCCACCAAUCUCCACAUAAAUCUGAAAUAACAAAAAAUACAUUAUGUGGGGAAUACAGCUGCAAUGAGAGUCAUGAACAUUUUAAUUCUAAUGGAGACUUUGAUAAACAUCUGAGAACCCACACAGGGGAGAAACCUUUUUCUUGUUCAGAAUGUUGGAAAUGUUUUUCAAGCAAAUUUCAUCUUGAUCGGCAUCACAGGACUCACACGGGGGAGAAACCAUUUUCUUGUUCUGAAUGUGGGAAAUGUUUUUCAAGCAAAUUUCAUCUUGAUCGGCAUCACAGGACUCACACGGGGGAGAAACCAUUUUCUUGUUCUGAAUGUGGGAAAUGUUUUUCAGACCAUUCCCACCUUAAAAGUCAUCAGAGAACCCACACAGGGGAGAAACUAUUUUCAUGUUCUGAGUGUGAGAAAUGUUUCUCGGACCAAUCCAACCUUAAAACUCAUAAGAGAAUCCACACAGGGGAGAAACCAUUUUCAUGUUCUGCAUGUGGGAAAUGUUUUUCAGACCAAUCCCACUUUAGAACUCAUCAGAGAACCCACACAGGGGAGAAACUAUUUUCAUGUUCUGAGUGUGGGAAAUGUUUCUCGGACCAAUCCGACCUGAAAAUUCAUUAUAGAACCCACACAAGGGUGAAACCAUUUUCUUGUUCUGAAUGUGGGAAAUGUUUUUCAGACCAAUCCCACCUUAAAACUCAUCAGAGAACCCACACAGGGGAAAAACCAUUUUCAUGUUCUGUAUGUGGGAAAUGUUUUUACUGUCAAUCUAACCUUAAUCGGCAUCAAAGGACUCACACAGGAGAGAAGCCAUUUUCAUGUUCUGAAUGUUGGAAAUCUUUUUCAGACCAAUCACUCCUUAAAAUUCAUUAUAGAACCCACACAAGGGUUAAACCAUUUUCUUGUUCUGAAUGUGGGAAAUGUUUUUCAGACCAAUCCCACCUUAAAACUCAUCAGAGAAUCCACACAGGGGAGAAACCAUUUUCAUGUUCUAAAUGUGGGAAAUCUUUUUCCUGUCGAUCUAGCCUUAAUCGGCAUCAAAGGACCCACACAGAGGAGAAACCAUUUUCAUGUUCUGAAUCUGAGAAAUCUUUUUCAGACCAAUCACUCCUUAAAAUUCUUCAUACAACCCACACAGGGGAGAAACCAUUUUCAUGUUCUGAGUGUGGGAAAUGUUUCUCAGACCAAUCCCACCUUAAAACUCAUCAGAGAAUCCACACAGGGGAGAAACCAUUUUCAUGUUCUGAAUGUGGGAAAUCUUUUUCCUGUCGAUCUAGCCUUAAUCGGCAUCAAAGGACUCACACAGAGGAGAAACCAUUUUCAUGUUCUGAAUGUGAGAAAUCUUUUUCAGACCAAUCACUCCUUAAAAUUCAUCAUACAACCCACACAGGGGAGAAACCAUUUUCAUGUUCUGAGUGUGGGAAAUAUUUCUCAGACCAAUCCCACCUUAAAACUCAUCAGAGAAUCCACACAGGGGAGAAACCAUUUUCAUGUUCUGAAUGUGGGAAAUCUUUUUCCUGUCGAUCUAGCCUUAAUCGGCAUCAAAGGACUCAUACAGAGGAGAAAUCAUUUUCAUGUUCUGAAUGUGAGAAAUCUUUUUCAGACCAAUCACUCCUUAAAAUUCAUCAUACAACCCACACAGGGGGAGAAACCAUUUUCUUGUGUUGAAUGUGGAAAAUGAUUUGUAAAGCAAUCUGACCUUGAUUAUCAUAAAAGGACCCACACAAGGGAGAAACCAUUCUCAUAUUCUGAAUGUGGGAAAUCUUUUUCCUGUCGAUCUAGCCUUAAUCGGCAUCAAAGGACUCACACAGAGGAGAAACCAUUCUCAUGUUCUGAAUGUGGGAAAUGUUUUUCAAAGCGAUCUGAGCUUGAUCGUCAUAAAUAUACUCACACAGAAGAGAAACCAUUUUCUUGUUUUAAACUUGAUAAUAACAUGAAUCCAUCCCAUAAGGGGCCGAGUUCCCUAGAGAGAAUCCUGAAUCUCACACUGGAGAUUAUCUAUCUGCUGACUGGAGAGGGCUACGUCAUCCCUAAGAAGAAGAGCCCAACUGUGGGUUUGGGGGCCCUGCAUGCCCCUGGCUCCGUCAUACAGAAGGAAAAUGACAAGAAGAUCCUGGAACUCAUCUCCAACAUCAUCCAGCUGCUGACUGGAGAGGUUGCCAUAAGGUGUGAGGAUGUUUCCAUCUAUUUUUCCUUGGAGGAGUGGGAGUAUAUAAAAGGAAACAAGGCCCUUUACAGGGAAGAGAUAAAGGAGGAGGAGGAGCCCCAGCAGCUCCGCCCACUGGCCUGUGAGUAUAAAGAUGGGAGCGAUGUUACAGCACAUACGGAAGCAACUUUAUGUUGUAAUAAUGAUGGGAAUCUCACAAACCCUGAUGUUUCUCCAGCGGAACAGCCCCCACCGGCCAAUGGGAUUAAAGAGGAGGCGGCUUCAUGGGAAGGGAGAAACCAAUCAGAUUGCAGCAUUAAUCCCCUUACAGAACAGAUACAAGGAACAGACACACCUACUCCUAUCAUGGGGUGCAGCCUGAAUAACAGCUCGGCAGAGGAUUAUAUAUCCGUUGUUAUUAAAGAGGAGGAACCUUCAUGGGAAGGGGGAAACCAAUCAGAUUGCAGCAUUAAUCUCCUUACAGAACAGAUACAGGGAACAGACACACCUACUCCUAUCAUUCAGGCUCCACCCCAUAACAGCUCGGCAGAGGAUUAUAUAUCCGUUGUUAUUAAAGAGGAAGAACCUUCAUGGGAAGGGGGAAACCAAUCAGAUUGCAGCAUUAAUCCCCUUACAGAACAGAUACAGGGAACAAAUACUCCUAUCAUGGGGUGCAGCCUGAAUACCUUACAAUUGAAGGAUAAUAAUUAUAAUGAAAAUUCCCACCAAUCUCCACAUAAAUCUGAAAUAACAAAAUUUAUAUCAUGUGGGAAAUACAGCUGCAAUGAGAGUCAUAAACCUAUUAGUUAUAAUGGAGACUUUAAUAAACAUUGGAGAACCCACACAGGGGAGAAACCUUUUUCUUGUUCAGAAUGUGGGAAAUGUUUUUCAAGCAAAUCUAAACUUGAUAGUCAUCUAAGGACUCACACAGGGGAGAAACCAUUUUCUUGUUCUGAAUGUCGGAAAUGUUUUUCAAACAAAUCUCAACUUGAUCGGCAUCAAAGGACUCACACAGGGGAGAAACCAUAUUCUUGUUCUGAAUGUGGAAAAUGUUUUUCAGGCCAAUCACUCCUUAAAAUUCAUUAUAGAAUCCAUACAGGGGAGAAACCAUUUUCUUGUUCAGAAUGUGGGAAAUAUUUUUCAAACAAAUCUAAACUUGAUUGUCAUCUAAGGACUCACACAGGGGAGAAACCAUUUCCUUGUUCUGUAUGUGGGAAAUGUUUUAAUUGUCAAUCUAACCUUAAUCGGCAUCAAAGGACUCACACAGGGGAGAAAUCAUUUUCAUGUUCUGAGUGUGGGAAAUGUUUUUCAGACCAAUCCGACCUGAAAAUUCAUUAUAGAACCCACACAGGGGUGAAACCAUUUUCUUGUUCUGAAUGUGAGAAAUGUUUUUCAGACCAAUCCCACCUUAAAACUCAUCAGAGAACCCAUACAGGGAAGAAACAAUUUUCAUGUUCUGAGUGUGGGAAAUGUUUCUCAGACCAAUCCCAACUUAAAACUCAUCAGAGAACCCACACAGGGGAGAAACCAUUUUCAUGUUCUGUGUGUGGGAAAUGUUUUUACUGUCAAUCUAACUUUAUUCGGCAUCAAAGGACUCACACAGGGGAGAAACCAUUUUCUUGUUCUGAAUGUGGGAAAUGUUUUUCAGAGCAAUCACUCCUUAAAAUUCAUCAUACAACCCACACAGGGGAGAAACCAUUUUCUUGUGUUGAAUGUGGGAAAUCUUUUUCCUGUCGAUCUAGCCUUAAUCGGCAUCAUAGAACUCACACAGGGGAGAAACCAUUUUCAUGUUCUGAGUGUGGGAAAUGUUUUUCACAGCAAUAUGACCUGAAAAUUCAUUCUAGAACCCACGCAUUGGCGAAAAUUUUUUCUUGUUCUGAAUGUGGGAAAUGUUUUUCAAAGCGAUCUGAGUUUGAUUGUCAUAAAUAUAUUCACACAGUGGAGAAACCAUUAAACAUACUUUCACAAUGACGUAAAACGUAAACUUGGAUCAUUGAACUCUUUCCCGUUUCUCUCUCUCUGACACCAUCCAGCCCAGCUACAGACUGGGGAGGAACCCGAUUGGCUGGAUGCCCCAUUGCACUGUUGGGAGAGAGGAGGUGCCUAGGUUUGGAGUAAAAAAUCCGGGUCCGACCCAGCAGCUUAUAAAGGGGCCGGAGUUGAGACAGAGAGACCAACCAGUAAGCAGUGAGUGUGUAAAGGCUGAAGGGAACUCUGCUGAGUGCCAGCCUGUAAAGAGAGAUCCGCUACACUGCUGUUAGAUGCCUUUACUCCCUGCGGAUCCCCCGUGAGUGACCCAUAUGAGGAUAAAGGUAUAGAGUCUCCGUGUGUGGCCCCUGGGGGAGGGCAGGUGUUUCUCGGGGCUACAUGGGAGCAACUGCCUAUUCCAAAGGGAGAGGUACUUUGGGGCAGGUAGCGCUACCUGGGGGAACUCUGGGGAAGGGACUGAACUGGGAAAGGGUAUUUCCUCCAGGAGGGGAGUGUGGGACUGAGCCCCCAGAGAGACUGAGCCAGUAGUGGCUAAACCCAUCCCGGUUUCCCAAAGCAGGGUUAUUACUGUUUGCCUGUUAUAAUUAUUUUACCUUUACACCCAGUUAUAUAAAGUUGAUAUUUGCUACAAA
This is an RNA transcript of Xenopus tropicalis (tropical clawed frog), 5580 nucleotides long. It is a transcript of the gene named oocyte zinc finger protein XlCOF7.1-like, with no coding region annotated. The record is from RefSeq and is a predicted model, not a curated record. Lineage: Eukaryota; Metazoa; Chordata; Amphibia; Anura; Pipidae. The transcript has 9 exons.